GACGAACGCUGGCGGCGUGCCUAACACAUGCAAGUCGAACGGAGAAUUUAGCAAUGAAUUCUUAGUGGCGAACGGGUGAGUAACGCGUAGACAACCUGCCUUUUAGAUGGGGACAACACCGCGAAAGUGGUGCUAAUACCGAAUGUUGCAUUUGAUCGCAUGAUUGAGAUACUAAAUAUGGCCUCUAUUUAUAAGCUAUCGCUAAAAGCUGGGUCUGCGUUUGAUUAGCUAGUUGGUGAGGUAAUGGCUCACCAAGGCGACGAUCAGUAGCCGGUCUGAGAGGAGGAGCGGCGACACUGGGACUGAGACACGGCCCAGACUCCUACGGGAGGCAGGAGUGGGGAAUCUUCCGCAAUGGACGAAAGUCUGACGGAGCAACGCCGCGUGAGUGAAGAAGGUUUUCGGAUCGUAAAACUCUGUCUUCAGGGACGAAUGUGCAGAUUGUGAAUAAUGAUUUGUAAUGACGGUACCUGAGUAGAAAGCCACGGCUAACUACGUGCCAGCCGCCGCCGUAA
RNAcentral lists this ribosomal RNA (515 nucleotides) under uncultured bacterium. Its description in RNAcentral is "partial 16S ribosomal RNA". It matches the Rfam family "Bacterial small subunit ribosomal RNA", at positions 28 to 523 of the family's 1533-position model. The record is from RNAcentral.